This 452-nucleotide ribosomal RNA is filed under the name Chaetodon lunulatus (oval butterflyfish). RNAcentral describes it as "partial small subunit ribosomal RNA". It matches the Rfam family "Bacterial small subunit ribosomal RNA", at positions 788 to 1444 of the family's 1533-position model. Lineage: Eukaryota; Metazoa; Chordata; Actinopteri; Chaetodontiformes; Chaetodontidae. The record is from RNAcentral.
CACUAUGCCUAGCCUUAAACAUUGACAGUUCACUACACCCACUGUCCGCCUGGGAACUACGAGCACCAGCUUAAAACCCAAAGGACUUGGCGGUGCUUUAGACCCACCUAGAGGAGCCUGUUCUAGAACCGAUAAUCCCCGUUAAACCUCACCCUUCCUUGCCAUUUCCGCCUAUAUACCACCGUCGUCAGCUUACCCUGUGAAGGCCCCAUAGUAAGCACAAUCGGCAAUGCCCAGUACGUCAGGUCGAGGUGUAGCGUAUGGAAGGGGAAGAAAUGGGCUACAUUUACUAAUUCAGUAAAUACGGAUGAUCACCCUGCAACGAGUAUCUGAAGGAGGAUUUAGCAGUAAGCAAAAAAUAGAGUGUUUUGCUGAAAUUGGCCCUGAAGCGUGCACACACCGCCCGUCACUCUCUCCGAACUAAGACUUUGAAGAUAACUAAUACGCUAUAA